Long non-coding RNA from Camponotus floridanus (Florida carpenter ant), 918 nucleotides. RefSeq lists it as uncharacterized. The record is from RefSeq and is a predicted model, not a curated record. NCBI's taxonomy places the organism in Eukaryota, Metazoa, Arthropoda, Insecta, Hymenoptera, Formicidae. The transcript has 3 exons.
ACAUACGCGUCUCAUUACGUUGCGAACUUGCGAUUUGUCGACACAUUUAUUUUGACGCUCCGCAUUUCUUCUGCUUUCCAUACCAUCUGUUGCUAACAAUCUUGAUUACCUACGGAUUUUAUCAGAACUUUACACUAUAUAAUAUUCUUAUUACAUCGGAAGACGAGAUCUCCUGGGUUUUUUCCUUGUUUUCGUUUCGUGGAACGAUCUUUUCUUGUAAACAUUCCAACAACGAAGACGAUAAAACUGAUAAGUCGCAAAAGGAUGAAUGCAUAAAUUGACACUAGCGACAAUAGCUGCGCAGAUUCCAGAUCGAAUCAAAUUGUAAGCUUCCACCAUAGCGAAAUGGCUCGAGCUACAUGCUACAAGUAUCGAUGUUAUACGAUGGUCCAGUGACGUUGAGCCAGUUAGAAAUUCUAUUUGCCGGCAUAUUUUUACUGCAACCAAGUAUGAGCAAUCCAGUAACUAAUAAUUAUUAAUACGUUCAUACAGGUUUAAGAGUGCAUGUUUUUCUUAUCGAUUUUUAAUAAUAAAAUUAUUGACAUACAUGAGUCUGGAAUAGUAAAAUUAUUAACAUACAUGAAGCUUUUCGUAGAUCGAGAUAUGUAUCACAAGCUCAUAUUGCUGUGAUAACUGCUGUCCUUGUCCCUGCAGUUCUGCGGGAUUGACAACUGCGUCAAUAAUUGCUGCAUAGGUGCUUUCGAAUAAUAUUCUAGUUCCAGGAUCAAUUGUAUGAGCUUCUUCGAUCGACAUAUUAAAAAAUUCUGCAUCAAAUUUUCCUAUAUUGUUGAUUUUUCCUAUUCGAAGAGGCAUUUUGUAGAUAUCUGACAAAAUUUAUAACGAUUUAUAUGAAAAUAACAUAUAUUUAAUUUAUAAAUAAGAACUACAUUCUAUUAAAGAUAGGCAAGAUAAUUUUAA